Molecule: long non-coding RNA, 1932 nt
Organism: Gasterosteus aculeatus aculeatus (three-spined stickleback)
Lineage: Eukaryota; Metazoa; Chordata; Actinopteri; Perciformes; Gasterosteidae
Source: Ensembl
UUUGACAAGAGUUAGGAAGCUGAUCGAGAUUUUUAGUUCGUCAACGCAAUAUUGCAAAUGCAAUAGUGUAAUGACUGUUUUUUUGAUAUUAUGGAACAAACGUCCCCCUGGAACGAUGAACUAGUUCAAUUUUGGUGGUUAAUGGUCAGUGUGACAUCAUAUGCGUUCCAUUUUGGUGAACCCGAUGUUUCCAACUUCCACACUAUGACUAAAACGAUAAGUGUAUGCUGUAACCAUAUGCUAAUUAUCUUAAUCUCAACACGUUUUGGGAAAAAAAACAAGAUUUUGGACGGACAUGGAUGUGAAAUCCAGUUCAACUGGUUACACACAACAGCAAUUCGUUACUUUUAGCUUUCGUCGAAGCACCGAUGAGUAUGAUGAGCACCUGAUUAACGCUCUCACAGUCUGUUCCAACGGAGCCAAAUGGAAGCUUAGCGUCUCCCAUCUACUGUCACUGAUUACAUCAGCAAAAUUAAACAAUCUGUCAUGUAUAGCACGAACCGUCUUAGCUUUGAUGGAAUAAUAAAUACUAUGUACGCAAGAAAACGGUGACAGCUCUUCACGGCUUCGUUCUGUUCAUCCGUACAUUGAGGCUCUGGCAUGAGUUGACACGCUGCGGGCAGAUGGAGCUGACGUGACAUCACCAGCUACAGGACGGGCCGAUGAAGAAGCAGGUACACUGACGGGCACAUGGUGCAUGCGGGAGGGAAAGGGGAUGUUCCAUGGAGAACGUUUCAAUGAAAACAACAAGAAAGGAAAGAAAGGAGGGAACAAUUAAUACACCUCAGAUGCUUAAUCUCAAGGUUCCCAAUCGGCUUUAUUCAAUCUUUAUCCAAUCAACGGCAUUAUUUCUGGAAAUGCUGAGUUUGAAGGACGCACGUUCGGACUCGUGACGACCAAAAACAAAAAUUUUAAGAAGAUAAUUGCUAGAGAGGCAACGAACGAGGGGUAGACGCAUGUUUUGAGGGGCCAAGAGUGAAGAAUGAUAAAAGCUCAUUAGCAAAACGGCUCCUCUCUCACCUCCCGCUGUUACACGUGGACACGUGUUUGUGUCUCUGUGUGUGUGUUUGUGUCUGUGUCCACAGGCUUUCAGUCAAAAGGACAAAGAGCCUUGUCAAGUAAACAUGCAGCCAGUCAAGCAAACAGUUGAGGUCAUGCACACACACACACACACACACAGUAUAUGUUUAGAUGCGUGUAUUGUGUGAGGGCACCGAUGCCGUUUCCAAGUCAUUUAACACUAGAUGGUGUUGGACUGGCCAAUGAUUACCAUUCUGUCUGAAAUACAAACAGACACAGAGAGACAGGGAGUGUGUGUGUGUGUGUGUGUGUGUGUGUGUGUGUGUGUGUGUGCGUGUGGGGGGCACAGGUAACGGCCAUCAGAGGCAGCAAGCACUCAAACAGCACAGUGCACUCAGAAAGUGAGCGUUGUGCUUUAUUAGUACUUUUAAAGAGGUUUCUCACUUUUUUUAAAAACAUUUUCGGCAAAGGUCUUCAAUGCAAAGGUCUUCAAUGCAAAAGUCUUCAAUGCAAAGGUCUUCAAUGCAAAAGUCUUCAAUGCAAAGGUCUCCAAUGCAAAGGUCUUCAAUGCAAAGGUCUUCAAUGCAAAGGUCUUCAAUGCAAAGGUCUUCAAUGCAAAGGUCUCCAACGUGACUUCUGCAGUUGAAUGUGCCCGAUUGUCCACAUACAUGUCCAAACUUUAGUGGAACUUGGGGGGGAUUGGAUAGUGAAUAUGUUAUGUGUUCGGCCAUGGCGGCGGAUGAAUGCAUUGCAUCGGCCCCCGGCCCCUCGGGCCCCUCGGGCCCCCGGGCCCCCGGGCACCGAUAGGUAGACGGAGAUCUUUGUGUAAAACUCAACAGAGCUAUGGGAGGAACCCAGGACUAUAUCCCACAUAGAGAGUGGUGACCUAGUGAAAGCGAUACAACAUAAUGU